This 119-nucleotide ribosomal RNA is filed under the name Prolemur simus (greater bamboo lemur). Lineage: Eukaryota; Metazoa; Chordata; Mammalia; Primates; Lemuridae. The record is from RNAcentral.
AUCUAUAGUCAUACCGCCCUGAAUGUGCCUGAUCUCAUGUGAUCUUGGAAGCUAAGCAGGGUUAGGCCUGGUUGGUACUUGGAUGGGAGAUAAGUAGAGAAGAGUUGAUCCUGCCUGCU